This 252-nucleotide ribosomal RNA is filed under the name uncultured bacterium. Its description in RNAcentral is "partial 16S ribosomal RNA". It matches the Rfam family "Bacterial small subunit ribosomal RNA", at positions 524 to 776 of the family's 1533-position model. The record is from RNAcentral.
UACGUAGGGAGCAAGCGUUGUCCGGAAUCAUUGGGCGUAAAGCGCGCGUAGGUGGCCUCGUAAGUCCGCUGUGAAAGUCAAAGGCUCAACCUUUGAAAGCCGGUGGAUACUGUGAGGCUAGAGUACGGAAGAGGCGAGUGGAAUUCCUGGUGUAGCGGUGGAAUGCGCAGAUAUCAGGAGGAACACCAAUAGCGAAGGCAGCUCGCUGGGACGUUACUGACACUGAGGCGCGAAAGCGUGGGAGCGAACAGG